UACAGAGGGUGCAAGCGUUGUUCGGAAUCAUUGGGCGUAAAGGGCGCGUAGGCGGUUAUAAAAAGUCGAAUGUGAAAGCCCAGGGCUCAACCUUGGAAGUGCAUCCGAAACUGCAUAACUAGAAUCUCGGAGAGGGUGGUGGAAUUCCCAGUGUAGAGGUGAAAUUCGUAGAUAUUGGGAGGAACACCGGUGGCGAAGGCGACCGCCUGGACGAAGAUUGACGCUGAGGCGCGAGAGCGUGGGGAGCAAACAGG
This 254-nucleotide ribosomal RNA is filed under the name uncultured bacterium. Its description in RNAcentral is "partial 16S ribosomal RNA". It matches the Rfam family "Bacterial small subunit ribosomal RNA", at positions 524 to 776 of the family's 1533-position model. The record is from RNAcentral.